This 231-nucleotide ribosomal RNA is filed under the name uncultured bacterium. RNAcentral describes it as "partial 16S ribosomal RNA". It matches the Rfam family "Bacterial small subunit ribosomal RNA", at positions 103 to 334 of the family's 1533-position model. The record is from RNAcentral.
CGGGUGAGUAACACGUAUCCAACCUGCCGUCUACUCUUGGACAGCCUUCUGAAAGGAAGAUUAAUACAAGAUGGCAUCAUGAGUCCGCAUGUUCACAUGAUUAAAGGUAUUCCGGUAGACGAUGGGGAUGCGUUCCAUUAGAUAGUAGGCGGGGUAGCGGCCCACCUAGUCUUCGAUGGAUAGGGGUUCUGAGAGGAAGGUCCCCCACAUUGGAACUGAGACACGGUCCAA